AUCACUUCUUGGCCUUUUGGCUAGAAUCAAGUGUAGUUUCUGUUCUUGUCAGUUUGAUAUCU
Molecule: small nuclear RNA, 62 nt
Filed under: Cervus elaphus hippelaphus
Lineage: Eukaryota; Metazoa; Chordata; Mammalia; Artiodactyla; Cervidae
Rfam family: U2 spliceosomal RNA
About the family: U2 is a small nuclear RNA (snRNA) component of the spliceosome (involved in pre-mRNA splicing). Complementary binding between U2 snRNA (in an area lying towards the 5' end but 3' to hairpin I) and the branchpoint sequence (BPS) of the intron results the bulging out of an unpaired adenosine, on the BPS, which initiates a nucleophilic attack at the intronic 5' splice site, thus starting the first of two transesterification reactions that mediate splicing.
Source: RNAcentral